This 427-nucleotide ribosomal RNA is filed under the name uncultured bacterium. Its description in RNAcentral is "bacterial SSU rRNA". It matches the Rfam family "Bacterial small subunit ribosomal RNA", at positions 354 to 796 of the family's 1533-position model. The record is from RNAcentral.
GUGGGGAAUAUUGCGCAAUGGGGGAAACCCUGACGCAGCAACGCCGCGUGAAGGAAGAAGGUCUUCGGAUUGUAAACUUCUUUGGUGAGGGACGAAGAGAUGACGGUACCUCAGGAACAAGCCACGGCUAACUACGUGCCAGCAGCCGCGGUAAUACGUAGGUGGCGAGCGUUGUCCGGAAUUACUGGGUGUAAAGGGCGUGUAGGCGGGGGCAUAAGUCAGAUGUGAAAUCCCGGGGCUUAACUCCGGGGCUGCAUCUGAAACUAUGUUUCUUGAGUGCUGGAGAGGGAAGCGGAAUUCCUAGUGUAGCGGUGAAAUGCGUAGAUAUUAGGAGGAACACCAGUGGCGAAGGCGGCUUCCUGGACAGUAACUGACGCUGAGGCGCGAAAGCGUGGGGAGCGAACAGGAUUAGAAACCCUAGUAGUCC